RNAcentral lists this ribosomal RNA (304 nucleotides) under uncultured eukaryote. RNAcentral's name for it is "SSU rRNA". It matches the Rfam family "Eukaryotic small subunit ribosomal RNA", at positions 587 to 895 of the family's 1831-position model. The record is from RNAcentral.
AGCUCCAAUAGCGUAUAUUAAAGUUGUUGCGGUUAAAAAGCUCGUAGUUGGAUUUCUGUCGAAAACAACCGGUCCGCUCUAUGAGCGUGUAUCUGGUCUGGUUUUGGCAUCCUCGUGGGGAACAGCUCUGUGCUUGAUUGCAUGGACUGGUAUUCACGACUUUUACUUGAGGAAAUUAGAGUGUUCACGGCAGGCAAGCGCCUUGAAUACAUUAGCAUGGAAUAAUAAUAUAGGACUUUGGUUCUAUUUUGUUGGUUUCUAGAACUGAAGUAAUGAUUAAUAGGGAUAAUUGGGGGGCAUUUGU